This 290-nucleotide long non-coding RNA is filed under the name Salvia miltiorrhiza (redroot sage). RNAcentral describes it as "long non-coding RNA (SMIL_LNC008155)". Lineage: Eukaryota; Viridiplantae; Streptophyta; Magnoliopsida; Lamiales; Lamiaceae. The record is from RNAcentral.
UAUUGAAAAACUAAUUUCAUACAUCAUAUAACUAAGUAAUAGUAUCCUUAAUUUACUCCAGGCUGCCAUAUCUACAGCUAGAUUUAUACAUAACAAGUAGAGCAUAUUACAUCAAAAUCAUUUGUUUCCAGCUAGAUUUAUACAUGACAAGCAGAGCAGAUUGCAUCAAAAUAUCUAUCUAUUUAAUAAGCAGGAUCCAGAAAAUGGCCACUGAGCAAAAAGAAGUUCUAAUACAAUGUACAAGAUGAUUAGUGAAGCUCACGGUGUCACCUUUGUCUUGGCCCUUUUCU